Molecule: ribosomal RNA, 253 nt
Filed under: uncultured bacterium
Lineage: Bacteria
Description: partial 16S ribosomal RNA
Rfam family: Bacterial small subunit ribosomal RNA
Source: RNAcentral
GACGUAGGGCGCGAGCGUUGUCCGGAUUUAUUGGGCGUAAAGAGCUCGUAGGCGGUCUGUCGCGUCUGCUGUGAAAACUCGGGGCUUAACCCCGGGCCUGCAGUGGGUACGGGCAGACUAGAGUGAUGUAGGGGAGACUGGAAUUCCUGGUGUAGCGGUGAAAUGCGCAGAUAUCAGGAGGAACACCGAUGGCGAAGGCAGGUCUCUGGGCAUUAACUGACGCUGAGGAGCGAAGGCAUGGGGAGCGAACAGG